RNAcentral lists this ribosomal RNA (1218 nucleotides) under Listeria monocytogenes. Its description in RNAcentral is "bacterial LSU rRNA". It matches the Rfam family "Bacterial large subunit ribosomal RNA", at positions 1 to 1212 of the family's 2925-position model. Lineage: Bacteria; Bacillati; Bacillota; Bacilli; Caryophanales; Listeriaceae. The record is from RNAcentral.
UUGGUUAAGUUAGAAAGGGCGCACGGUGGAUGCCUUGGCACUAGGAGCCGAAGAAGGACGGGACUAACACCGAUAUGCUUUGGGGAGCUGUACGUAAGCGUUGAUCCAGAGAUUUCCGAAUGGGGGAACCCACUAUCUUUAGUCGGAUAGUAUCCUUACGUGAAUACAUAGCGUGAGGAAGGCAGACCCAGGGAACUGAAACAUCUAAGUACCUGGAGGAAGAGAAAGAAAAAUCGAUUUCCUGAGUAGCGGCGAGCGAAACGGAAAGAGCCCAAACCAAGAAGCUUGCUUCUUGGGGUUGUAGGACACUCUAUACGGAGUUACAAAAGAAAGUUAUAAAUGAAGCGGUCUGGAAAGGCCCGCCAAAGACGGUAACAGCCCGGUAGUUGAAAUGGCUUUCCCUCCAGAGUGGAUCCUGAGUACGGCGGAACACGUGAAAUUCCGUCGGAAUCCGGGAGGACCAUCUCCCAAGGCUAAAUACUCCCUAGUGACCGAUAGUGAACCAGUACCGUGAGGGAAAGGUGAAAAGCACCCCGGAAGGGGAGUGAAACAGUUCCUGAAACCGUGUGCCUACAAGUAGUUAGAGCCCGUUAAUGGGUGAUAGCGUGCCUUUUGUAGAAUGAACCGGCGAGUUACGAUUUGUUGCAAGGUUAAGCGGAAAAAGCGGAGCCGUAGCGAAAGCGAGUCUGAAUAGGGCGCAUAAGUAACAGGUCGUAGACCCGAAACCAGGUGAUCUACCCAUGUCCAGGAUGAAGGUAAGGUAAUACUUACUGGAGGUCCGAACCCACGCACGUUGAAAAGUGCGGGGAUGAGGUGUGGGUAGCGGAGAAAUUCCAAUCGAACUUGGAGAUAGCUGGUUCUCUCCGAAAUAGCUUUAGGGCUAGCCUCGAGGUAAAGAGUCAUGGAGGUAGAGCACUGUUUGGACUAGGGGCCCUUCUCGGGUUACCGAAUUCAGAUAAACUCCGAAUGCCAUGUACUUAUACUCGGGAGUCAGACUGCGAGUGAUAAGAUCCGUAGUCGAAAGGGAAACAGCCCAGACCACCAGUUAAGGUCCCCAAAUAUAUGUUAAGUGGAAAAGGAUGUGGGGUUGCUUAGACAACCAGGAUGUUGGCUUAGAAGCAGCCACCAUUGAAAGAGUGCGUAAUAGCUCACUGGUCGAGUGACCCCGCGCCGAAAAUGUACCGGGGCUAAACAUAUUACCGAAACUGUGGAUGAACC